RNAcentral lists this long non-coding RNA (933 nucleotides) under Carassius auratus (goldfish). RNAcentral describes it as "lncRNA (ENSCARG00000055693.1)". The record is from RNAcentral. Lineage: Eukaryota; Metazoa; Chordata; Actinopteri; Cypriniformes; Cyprinidae.
CUGAACAAAUCAGGAACAUGUCCCCUGAGCUGCAGGGUUCCCGGAGACAACCUUUACGCCGCUGAAGUCAGAGGUCGUCCGUUCCAGAGGGAAACAGUGGCGACACCCCAGAGGCGUUCAGUAGACUAAUAGGACUGACUACAUCAUUAAGAAGGCAAGUUUACCAGAGAUGACUUAAGUUCAGCCAAGCCUAAAGGGGAACAAGUUUUUCUAAGAUGAUUGACAGCAACUCCGUUGAUGUGUAGGAGGAAAUGAAUGAGGCUCUUGUGAAGAAAAGGCCAACUCCACAAGAGGGCAGACUGUUGAAGAUGUUUACAUGUGCCAGCUUUCACAGGUAUGAGUGUGUGUAAAGCGCUUUCACCCUUAUAAUGUGCCCCACACCGAGCAUUUGCUGAGGUUGGCAGUUUGUCAGUGCCAUUGCUUAAGGCUCUGUAGCGCCGCACGCAGAACCAUUAAAAAUAACGAGCUUUCUCUCACCAUGACAACCACAUAACUCCUCAUCAUAGCAGAGCGCACAAUAGUUUUUACAAGAGCUUUUAAUUUCAAACCCAUCCAGUGAAAAUUCCCAUUGGAAAGCACCUUGGCAUUUUCAUUGGCAAAACGUUAUGUUACAAUUGUAGAUGAUACAUGAAAAGAGCGUCAAGAGACUAUGGUUAUGAAAUGAAGGAGAAAAAACAGCACGGGAUGGAAUCAUGUGAGCUCAAUUGAUUGUGUGUUUAUUUCAGUUGGCCGAGUCCCUCUCUGAAAUGUUAAAACACUGGAAACAUUGCCUCCAACAAUUGCUCUCGAUCUCUGUUGCCUGUCAGUUGUUGGUAAUUUAGCUAGUGGUUUCCACAGAUCAAUAUGCUUGCCCUGCGGAGCUACACACAACAGAUUUGUGUUCCAUGUUCCUGCCAUCAUAGAGAAAAUUUAGGACACUGGGAUGUAGGAGUG